RNAcentral lists this ribosomal RNA (137 nucleotides) under Vibrio parahaemolyticus. Its description in RNAcentral is "partial 23S ribosomal RNA". The stretch from base 1 to 119 matches the Rfam family "Bacterial large subunit ribosomal RNA", at positions 2812 to 2925 of the family's 2925-position model. The record is from RNAcentral. Lineage: Bacteria; Pseudomonadati; Pseudomonadota; Gammaproteobacteria; Vibrionales; Vibrionaceae.
UCCCUGAUACUUUAAGUAUCCUAAAGGGUUGUCGGAGACUACGACGUUGAUAGGUCAGGUGUGUAAGUGCUGUGAGGCAUUGAGCUAACUGAUACUAAUUGCCCGUGAGGCUUAACCAUACAACACCCAAGGGGUUU